This 369-nucleotide ribosomal RNA is filed under the name uncultured bacterium. Its description in RNAcentral is "bacterial SSU rRNA". It matches the Rfam family "Bacterial small subunit ribosomal RNA", at positions 29 to 412 of the family's 1533-position model. The record is from RNAcentral.
AAUCAACGCUGGCGGCGCGCUUAACACAUGCAAGUCGAGCGAGAAAGGGGAGCAAUCCCUGAGUACAGCGGCGUACGGGUGAGUAACACGUGGGUAAUCUACCUCUUAGUGGGGAAUAACCCUGGGAAACCGGGGCUAAUACCGCAUAAGCCUGCAAAGGGAAGCAGCAAUGCGCUGAGAGAGGAGCCCGCGGCCGAUUAGCUAGUUGGUGAGGUAAUGGCUCACCAAGGCGACGAUCGGUAGCCGGCCUGAGAGGGCACACGGCCACACUGGCACUGAAACACGGGCCAGACUCCUACGGGAGGCAGCAGUGGGGAAUCUUGCACAAUGGGGGAAACCCUGAUGCGGCGACGCCGCGUGAGCGAUGAA